Molecule: ribosomal RNA, 384 nt
Filed under: uncultured bacterium
Lineage: Bacteria
Description: bacterial SSU rRNA
Rfam family: Bacterial small subunit ribosomal RNA
Source: RNAcentral
AUUGAACGCUGGCGGCAUGCCUUACACAUGCAAGUCGAACGGCAGCACGGGAGCUUGCUCCUGGUGGCGAGUGGCGAACGGGUGAGUAAUGCAUCGGAACGUGCCCUGAAGUGGGGGAUAACGUAGCGAAAGUUACGCUAAUACCGCAUAUUCUGUGAGCAGGAAAGCAGGGGAUCUUCGGACCUUGCGCUUUUGGAGCGGCCGAUGUCGGAUUAGCUAGUUGGUGGGGUAAAGGCCCACCAAGGCGACGAUCCGUAGCGGGUCUGAGAAGAUGAUCCGCCACACUGGAACUGAGACACGGUCCAGACUCCUACGGGAGGCAGCAGUGGGGAAUUUUGGACAAUGGGCGCAAGCCUGAUCCAGCCAUGCCGCGUGAGUGAAGAA